Molecule: microRNA precursor, 133 nt
Filed under: Asparagus officinalis (garden asparagus)
Lineage: Eukaryota; Viridiplantae; Streptophyta; Magnoliopsida; Asparagales; Asparagaceae
Description: miR164 stem-loop (aof-MIR164)
Gene: aof-MIR164
Rfam family: MIR164 microRNA precursor family (bases 16-116)
Source: miRBase by way of RNAcentral
GCAUUGAGAGGUGGCUUGUGGAGGAUGGAGAAGCAGGGCACGUGCAUUACCAUCUAACGCACGUGAGUACUUAGUUGGAUAGUUCUUCAUGUGCUCAUCUUCUCCAUCAUGCACAUCCUACCUAAAGUUUCAA